This is a long non-coding RNA of Ailuropoda melanoleuca (giant panda), 8994 nucleotides long. RefSeq lists it as uncharacterized. The transcript is spliced from 6 exons. NCBI's taxonomy places the organism in Eukaryota, Metazoa, Chordata, Mammalia, Carnivora, Ursidae. The record is from RefSeq and is a predicted model, not a curated record.
UUAAUUUUUGAUCAAACACUUCAGUGACCAUCAAAUGGUUGCUGAAGUGAAUUAACUAGUCAUUUAAUCAAUAAUUCCAUGCAUUAUAAGACCCAAAAGAUUGGGAAAAUGGGAUUUAAUCUCCUCCGAGUUAGAUUCUCUCCUGGAAAAAAUCCUGGAACAAGUAUCUGGUAUGAAUUAAAAGUCCUUAUGAGUCCCAUACUUUAUAUAGCACCUUAACCAGAGGUCUUCCCUUCCCUAACACUAUUUCUAUGACCAAUACACGUGAAGUCCCUGUGAAGGUUGUACUGAACAUUUGCUGUUUUUGUCUGAGGGUUAUUCUUUCUCUCUGAUCAGAUAAUUUUGGGAACUUGCCAACAAAAACACUCUCUGGCCUGGCCAUACAGAGUACCCAAUCUCCUGAACAAUGAAAUUGGUUCAGGAAUGAGCAUGUGACCCAAGCUGAUCCACUCAGAAUCCUUGCCCAGUUGUUCUUCAGUUUGGAGCAUGAAACACAGGACCAUGUCUAAGGGCACGCACAGCAAGAAGGGUAUUUGUUGAAGCUGGAGCAUCCACAGUCCUGUGGAAAAGGCUAAUCUGCAGAUCAGUGCAGCUCAAGAGCAAGCAGCCCCCAGAUGGGAAGAAGAUGAAACUCUUAGGGGUAUUUAGCCAAAGAGGGAAAAGAGAGGAGGAAAAAUUGUGCUUGUGGUAAAUGAAAGAUCCUGCGUUGCUCAUCUAGGCUACAGAAAUGUGUACACAUGUGCACCAAAAGAUGUGUACAAGAAUGUUCGGAAUAGCGUUACUCUUAAUAGCAAAAAAUUGGAAACAGCUCAAAUGUCCAACAACAGAAUGAAAUAUAUUCCUGUCAGAGAAACGUCAAACAAAUUUACUGCAGAGGAUUAUGGAAUCUACUUUCCUUUAAGCCUUUGGAAGAAAGACUUCUCUCCUUCUUGGACAUAUCUAAAGUGCCUAGAACAUCCCUCGAAAAAUAAUAGACACUUCCUGCAUGGUUCUUGAAGAAGUGAAUUAAUAAAACAUAUGAUGAAUAUGAUCCAAGAGAUAAAAAUAUCCGAGGCAUGGGGUGAAGUCUUGAUUCAGGAGAAUGUGAGAAGCCACAUAAAUGAUCCCGGGUCUGCAUGGAAUCUGGAAAAGUAGGUACAGUUCCUCUGCUCUGAUGGGAGCACCAGAAAUCCAGUGGUACACGGAAUUCUCAUUGAAGUUAGAAGAUAUUCGACAAUGGUAAAAAUUGGGCACUCAGUCUCUAACCUUUUGGCCUACCACUUUUUGUUGGCUCUGUGUUCUAACUCUUUGAUUCUUUUCUAGGUUGUUCUUCAUUCGGCAGGUACCUACUAACUAUAUGCUCAUUUGAUGUAUUCAGGACUGACCUGUAAAACUGGCCUUAUCUUGGUGCUUGGAUUGUCUUGUUUUGCUUUCACUGAAAAAGGAAAAAAAAGAUACUAAAAAACGCAUCAAAACAAAAAACAAACACAACUGGUCUCCAUAGAUAGAAUCCAUUUAUCUUGUUUCUUCAAAGAUUUAUUUUUCAUUGUUUCAAGAACUUUUGACAAAUGAGCAUUAGAGGAAAAGUGCUGACAAUUUCAACUUUAUUAGUUCAAAUGUUAUUUUCUCAAUUUCAAAACUCAAAAAGCUGAUCUGGAAAAGAAAUGAUGCAAGGCGGUUGUUACAGAAUAAUUAUAGAUUUACUCCUAGAGGAAAACAUAAUUGCCUACAUACUACAUUAAGUGAACAUACACUCCUUCUACAUCAUAUAGUUAAAAUAAACCAUGCGCUUUCUGAAAAUUACAGUAUGAGAUUCACUUGUGUCCACAGGCUCACCCUGGUGUGGCCCUGCUGGGCUGGGAAUGAUGGAAUUGGAUGGGGGAACGGGAUCCCUACAUUAUUGCUGCAGAGAGUUCCUCCAAGUUGAGUAAGCUGAAUGGAGAUUUGAAAGAUGGGACAACUUCUAAACUGAUGGCAGAGCUAUAAAUAUCUGGGAAGCUGCCACCAGAAUUCCCAGCCUUGCAAGUAGUUACACGAAAUGGGGAAAAUUCUUUUAAACAAAGAUUGCUGCCCGGCUGCAAAUCUGGGAAGACAAGGCAAAAAUGUAUGAGCCUAUCAGAGAGUGGCUAGAGCCAGACCUUGAGGAGUUAUCACCGUGUGCUUACAGGACAGAAGGGGGUGUUGUUCUUGUGCUGGGCUCUUCAGCCGGCUGCCCAGAGCCUUAUGUGGCUCAGUUUACUAUGGUUUAAAGCAGUGGCUUUCAAACAUGGUGGGUGACUCUACAGUAAGAAAUACAGUUUACAUUACAGCCCAGCGCACCCCUACACAUAUAAAACCAUUGAAGUAACGGAAAUAAAAGUUUAAUAAACCUACAGCUAUUUCCUAUUUUUAGUAUAUGCCAUGCAUGCACACUCUUUUGCACUUUAUGAACCAUUCUGUUAUAUUCUAGAAAGAGUAAAUUAACCUAUAAGAAAAUUAUCUACAAAUUCCGGUUAAAAUUGAAGGUCUGUAUUUUAGAGAUCUAUAUUAUAUGAAUAUAGAUAACAUAUAUCAUUUCUAUUUACAUAAAUGUUAAUCAUAACUUGCCUGUGGUCUGAGACCACGGUUUAAAAACCAAUAAGAAGUUCCAGUAAAUCCUUCCACAGUAGAGAAAGCUGUGGAGGGAGGGGGCUGCACUGCCCCUCACCUGCCUAAGGGGCUUCUGCUGCUUUGCCUGUUUUCUCAACACGGGGUGCAUAGUUUGAAAAGAGUUAAUCUACACUUAUUACCCUGAGUGUUCUGACAUUUUCUCUUUGGUUCAUUUUGUAUUCUCAGCAUGAAGGAAAACUAGAACAACAGGGGCCAUGACGGUUUGGCUCCUGUAUCUCCUUUCACAGCUCCUCCCAGGAUCUAGCACCAUGCAUCCUUUCCACCGGACGGCUGAUAGAUGCUGCUGACUGCUAACACAAUUACAUGACAAUGCAGAAGCAAUAUCAUUUGUAUAAUUUGAUUAGCUGCAUGGAAUUGUAUGCACAGACGUUUCUUCCUAAUGGAAGAAUUUCAGUCUGUAAAACUGGUUGAACUAAAGAUUCAAAUAUAAAAGUAUAGACUUUGCCCAUGAUGCUCUCUACCAUUCCAUCCUUCACUUGUUUAUUCAUUCAUGCCUCAAAUAUGCAUUGAAUGGCUACUAUUUGUCAGACAUUCUUUUAGGCGCUGGGCGUACACAGUUCCUGCCCUCAAAAAAUGUUAGUUAUAAGACAGGUAACAGGUGUUUCUCAAAAUUGUGGUUUAUUAAAAAUUAACAGUUGAACUGGUCUAAUUUUGAUUUAGCUGGGGCAGAUUUCUUGUGUUUACUUUGUUUUCCUCAAGGUCAUUAAUGAUAUAAUCUAAAAUAAUACCUGAUUAAAAAAAAAAACUUACCUUGCCAAAAAUGCACUCAGUAACAUUACAUUUACUCCCUGUUCACGGCAACCUUUGGAUCUCAAGCGCGUAGAAUUAGAUUAAUCGUAAUCCUGGUUCAUGAAAACUCUCAUGUUGGUCCACUGGAGCAGCAUCCAUCUACCUACUUACCUACCUACCUACCCUAUGUAAACUGAUCUAUAGAUUUAAUGUGGUGCCAAAUGUAACAACACAUUAUACAGUUAUUAUAAUUAAGGCAGCGUUUUUUUUUUUUUCAGUGAUGAUCACAAGUACCAUUCUGCAUGUAUUCAGUUUAAGGACAUAUGAAUGGUACCAGAAAAUAUAUUACAUAUGAGUCUGGAUCUCAGAAGAGACAAGGACUAUAUUUUAAAUAAUAGUUUAGUAUAAAAUGGUUACAGAUCAGAAGAGAAAUGAUUAUUCACUAAAUGGUGCCAAGAAAAUUAACAAACAAAUUUGAGAAAUUUAGAUCCUCUCCUAUUAUUUCCACCAAAUAUAAUUUUCAGGUGGAUAAAGUAUUUUGGAAAUACCUGUUCAUGGAGAGCCUGGGAGGCUCAGUAGGUUAAGUGUCAGCCUUCAGCUCAGGUCAUGAUCCCAGGGUUCUGGGGUCAAGCCCACAUUGGGCUCCCUGCUCAGUGGGGAGCCUGCUUCUCCCUCUCCCUCUGCCUGCCACUCCCCCUGCUGUGCUCUCUCUCUCUCUGUCAAGUAAGAUAAAAUCUGAAAAAAAAAAAAGAGAAAUACAUGUUCAUGGAUAUCUUUAGGUAUUAGAAUGGGAAAAGACUAAGAAUAAAACUUAGUCUCGAUAAAGAAUAAAACUAUAGUCACAAUUUAGAAGUUCCAUGAAAUUGGAAUCACAAAAAUCAUUACUUUCAUGUUGGAGAAUAUGAUAGGUAAAAUUAAAAAGAAAAUAAAAAAUUGGGAGAAAUAUUUGAACACAGAUAUGAUAAUAAAGGAGUUAGUGUUUUCAACAUAUAUGUGGGACUGGUAAAUCACUAUGACAAAAUGAUAUUCUAUCUAUGAUCGGGAUGGGGAGGAAGAACACCUCAGCAAAGGUUCCACUUCAAAUAAGAAAAAACAUGUGACAAUUUUUUCCUGCCCUAAAUCACUUUUUCCCUUCCACUGAUGGUUGUUCCCCAUCUCGUCCAUUUGGAAAAUGCUUCUCCUCUAAUUCAUGUAGUUUUUUGGAGGCUCUCAGCCAGAUUACAUUGGCCCCUGCCCACUUGGGUGGCCAUGUGAUCCAGACCUGGCCCGUGGGAGAUCUACCAUAGAGCCAAAACAAUGCAAGGCAGCAUUUAAAAGUGUCAGUGGUCAAGGUUAUUACUUUUUCAUUGGCCAGAGGAACAAAACAGAGAACCUGAACCAGACUUGUGCACCUUGUAGUAUACGUCUGAGGAGAUAUGGUAGAUCACUGAGGAAAGACAAUGAAAUCAAUUGAGCUAGGAAAAAAUGUGGAUCACCAACGUUGACUACAGAUGGACUAAGAACUUAGAUAUCAAAAGCUAACUUGAAAACUUUCAGAAGAAAAUGUAGGUGAAAGUCUUUCUAACCUCAAAGCAGAGAAGGAUUUCUUAUACAAGACACAGUAGAGCUAAUCAUAAAAGAGAAGAUUGAUAAACUUGACUACUCUAAAAUUAAGAACUUGUGCUCAUCACAUCAUCUUUAAAAAAAGAUAGAAGACAAUCUAAGGACUGGGGGGUGCAGCACACAUGACUGACAAGGAUCAGAAUCAAAAUUACAUGAAGAAUUCCUGCAAAUUAAAAAUGAUAGGCACCCCCUUUCCUUCUGUACUCACAAACUUACUCCUGCUUUCUCAACGUUCACAGACUCUGAUUCCCUUAUUCAUCCAACAACAAAUUAGAUAUCGUCUGAGCAAGUUGUUCAUUUCUAUCUCUAUGCCAUUUCCUCCAGCUGUAAUAUGGCCACCACCUGCUGAACUACUGACAUCCUAAACACCUCCCUGAGUAAAGCCCAUCACUCCCAAAAACCUUCUUUGAUGACUUUGACUGAUCAUUGCUUCUUCCUUCAGAAUUCAGACUCCAUUCAUACUUUCUUACUAUAAUUACAUAUUCCUUUUUGAAUUCUGAUUUUUUUAGAUAUCCUAUCUACCCUGUUACAUUUUAACUUUUCCUAAAUUUAAGAGCUCUUGUAUUUCAUCUACUUGCAUGGUUUUUCCUUCUGUCUGGCUUUUCCAUCCCCCAGCUUAGCCCAAUGUUGUGCCUGUCAUAGGUACCUAGCAAGUGGCUGACUGACUGCAAACAUUAGGAUUUUAUUCAGUUUCAUCACGAGCACUUCAAAAAAGUAGGACAAAAUUAAGGUGGAUUUACCCAAGGAAAUAAAAAGAAAAAGACAGCAGUUCACACAAAUAAAUGCCUAACGAGAUCUUAGGCCAGUUAUAGAAACAUAUGGAAGAGAUUUAAAAAUAUCCAUUUACGAAGAAAUUGUGAAGGAGGAAGAAAGCAAUGUAAACAAGCCAAAUUAAGGAAAAAUUACAUAUUGGAGAAAGACAAUAAGCAGCAAGUUUCAGAAAACAUUUCAAAUGGCACUAAAAAGUUCAAAUGGGAUGGCAACAAAUAAAAGUAAAUGACUGAACUAAUUAGGACUAUAAGCAAGAGAUUGUUUAGAAGAUAAAACCCCAGAUGUGUUUAUCUCUCUUAUUUUAGAAAAAGCAGGCAGAGAGCUACCUUUAUCAGACAACAAUUUUCCUGGGACAACAGAUGUAGGCAGUUAAAAAAAAAAAAAGUUACCUGCAAACAAAUUAGAUGAGGCAGAAAUUCUAAAUAGUCUAUGUUCACGAUUUUUGUAAGAAAGAAAAAAGUGAUGAAGCUUUGAUUUAGACAUUUUUAGAUGAUACCAGGAUUAUAAGGUUUCAGAAGGAUUAGAAUAUAACUAGGUAGGAAUUAAACCAUUGAUUAAAGGUUACAUAGGUGGAGAUAUCAACAGUGAAAUUAGUUUGGGCAUUUAAGAUGCUCCAAUUUCAUUGAUUACUCAAAAAUACUUGAAUGAAAGUGGUUAUUUGUACAUUGGAAGUUCAUUAAAACAUUACCUUCUAGUAGUGAAAUAGGAUGAAAGGGGAGUCCAUCUGCUCUUCAGUCUAGAGCUGCUGGGAUACUCGGGCACCAAAAAACCCUAAUUAUACAGCUCAGUCAUGUCUAAGGUUCUUCUGUGACAGGAAUUCUGAGGAUAGCAUUUCAGUACAAUGAGGCACCAUCUUCCCCAUCCAGGCGCCCACGGUCAGCAAGCAUUUUGUGUUGAAACUAGACAGAGCAACAGUUAAUGGGCAGUAAUUCCAUGCCUAGUGCUGCAUGAAAUGCUGUCAGAUUAAGUCAGAGAAAGACAAAGGUUUUCUGAUAUUCUGCAUUCUGUUUACAUGCAGCUGAUUAAUACAGAUGCAUCUAGUCAUUCCUUUAGUCAGCCACGGAAGGCACCAGGGGCAAAGUUAGAAGCAUGGAGGCUCUGGAAUCUGAAACUAUGAGAUCAAGUCCAGGGUCCAUCAUGUACUUGCCGGGUGACCUUGGGUAACUCACCCUUCCCGAGCCUUAUCUUGUAAAUGGGAGUGGGAGUUUGGGGUUGUAGCAGGAUAUCUCCUUUACAGGCUUAUUGUGAGAGUAACUUGAGUCUACACGUGAAACACUUUUAUAAUCAUUAACAUCCUCUAAAAUGAGAAAAGCCGAGAGGAUGAGAACUGAGAAGUCUUGACACUUGGGAUCCAAUAGAUCACUGGUUUUAUUGGAAGUGGAAAUUUGAUUGAGGUGAGGAUGGGAAAGUGUAAGCAGCAAGUGGAGGCAGUUUUUUCUAAUAAGUUUCUUGUGUAUUUGCCUUCCCAAAUAGACUAGGCUUUUAAAUUAGAGACUGUAUUUUAUUUUUUAAAAAAAUAUCUCAAACCCUGCAACAGAGCUUCGUAUCAGGUUAUCCUGCACAAAUAGUCUCUUAAAAUUUUAGUUAAAUAAAUUUUCAUGACAAAGGAAAGAGUGAAAGAAGACAACAGCUUUAAGCGAAGCAAAAUCAGAGGAAAUUUUUCCAUUUGGUUUUUUUUUUUUAAUUUUGAAAACAGGAGACCCCUGAAUAUAUUAAUUUUAAGAGAGCAGACUGAGAAAAAUAGGGGAGAUCAAAGGUAUUUCAGAGAUGUAGGUAUUAUCUUGAAUGGUGGAGCCAGGCAAGAGGAAAUGAGAUCAAGAAUAAAGAGGACUGCCGUACUGAAAAAAGCAAGAGAAAUUGGCGUCAAGUGUGCACGGAGACGGCCUCACCGUGGAGAGGUAAAGGUAGAGAAAUGCUAAGGUGUUCCUUGUGGUGAAGAAGUUUGAUGACGCUCAAGACAGGUAGCUUUUACCUUUCAGGACUGCAGGAGAUGUGUUUUUCCUGUUGGAUAAGACAGUGGGUUUGGAGAUUUGAGAUGGUUGAAUGUUCCACAAGAAGUUAAUAUGAGAUAAGAAAUGGAUAGUUGAAAAGGACAUGGUGUAGGGAUAUCAGGAUAUCAGGAGUGAUGAAAAGGAAGACUGAGUGUGAAUUACAGGUUAGAAAUCCUGGAGAGGGAGGGUUUAGUGGCUGGAUAUUUAAUCAUUAUCUUUGGAGUAUAUGUGGGGCAAGAAAGGUGUGCUGGUGCCUUGUCAAACGUAUAUUUCAAACGGCCCAUCCUGAUGGUAUAUUUUUUUUCUUUCAAUGGAAGAGGAUAAGCAGGAUGCUUGAUAUGCAACUUACAAAUUGCUUAGAGGAAACAAGCUUUUGAAAUAGAAGUGAGGAAAAUUAAUAUGUAAAUUUGGAAUUACUAUGAGGAAGAAACAUUGAAUAUUUGAACCUGUCUAGAGAUGGCAGUGUUGUCUUGAGAAGGGUAAAGCUCCGGGAAAUACGAAAGUUCAUGUAGGCCAGGGAGUAUGAUGAUUGGCUGGGGUUAAAACAAAUGAAGUUUAAUUUCAUGAUUCUUGGGAUAAGAUUAAGCAGCAUCCCAAUGCUAACCUAGAUGAACUAUGCCUCUUCCUUCUUUCUCCAAACUGUAAUGAAUAUUUAUUCUUUUUAUUAAGGAAAAUGAAUACAUAGAUAGGAGCAGUAAACUUUAGGUUUCAAAAACUCUGAUAACUUGAGCAGAUUUUUUAACUAGCUUGAGUCUCACCAUGCUACUAAACCCGAGCACAUAUUCCUUCAUCCCCUGCCCACUACUUUUUGAAAGGUAUUUACUACUCUUAUAACAACGGUUAAUAUGUGAAUACAUUAUGCUUAUAAAAUGUUUCAUUCAUGUAUAAUAGAAUAAUUUAUUUUACCAUUUUUCUGUUGUUGGGCACUUAGUUUGCUACCAAUUUUUUUCAUAUUCAAACUAUAAUGUAAUGAAUAUCUUUGGAUAUACUGCUUUGCUUAGAUGUGUUGGUGUGUCUCUGGGAUAAUGUGAGAUUGCUGUGUUGAAGGAUAUGCACACGAAUAAGGUACCUUUCUGAGAGGUUGUAUCGAUUUACAGUCCCAUCAAUAGUGCAUGAGGGCAUGCCCAAUUGUUUAAUAGUCUCAUAUAACACAUAACUAUGUCCUUAGGAUGAUGAAGAAAUUAAAAAGCAAACUCUUUGUUUUCUUGGCCUUUUAAAUCAGGAAAACUUAACAUAGAGACUCUGGACUCCAGGAAACCAACUGAGGGUUACA